This is a long non-coding RNA of Anolis carolinensis (green anole), 331 nucleotides long. RefSeq lists it as uncharacterized. The transcript has 2 exons. The record is from RefSeq and is a predicted model, not a curated record. Lineage: Eukaryota; Metazoa; Chordata; Lepidosauria; Squamata; Anolidae.
AGAUGAUGACCAUACAUGGUGCUCAGCCCAUGAAGAGGUAGUUGUCAAAAGUAAAGACCCACCAUCCCUGAUGAGAUCUCAUCUGAUGAGACCUUUGCUCAACCAACUCCCACACAUUUAAAGACAUCCACGUGAAUUGUGCCCAUGGUUACAGGAAGAAGGCAUAGAAGAUGAUGAUUGAUCUUUCCACCACUGAAGAACAUCAGCCAAGCUACAACUACAUAUUAAUUUUACUCUUUGAGGAGUUAUUCAUUGGGUAGAGGGAGGAUAGCCUUGACUAUCUUUUGAAGUUAAGCAUCUUGUUUGAAAUUAAAGUAAUAAAAACACAAAA